AGAGUUUGAUCCUGGCUCAGGACGAACGCUGGCGGCGUGCUUAACACAUGCAAGUCGAACGGAAAGGCCCUUCGGGGUACUCGAGUGGCGAACGGGUGAGUAACACGUGGGUGAUCUGCCCUGCACUUUGGGAUAAGCCUGGGAAACUGGGUCUAAUACCGAAUAUGACCAUGCGCCUCCUGGUGUGUGGUGGAAAGCUUUUGCGGUGUGGGAUGGGCCCGCGGCCUAUCAGCUUGUUGGUGGGGUAAUGGCCUACCAAGGCGACGACGGGUAGCCGGCCUGAGAGGGUGACCGGCCACACUGGGACUGAGAUACGGCCCAGACUCCUACGGGAGGCAGCAGUGGGGAAUAUUGCACAAUGGGCGCAAGCCUGAUGCAGCGACGCCGCGUGAGGGAUGACGGCCUUCGGGUUGUAAACCUCUUUCAGCACAGACGAAGCGCAAGUGACGGUAUGUGCAGAAGAAGGACCGGCCAACUACGUGCCAGCAGCCGCGGUAAUACGUAGGGUCCGAGCGUUGUCCGGAAUUACUGGGCGUAAAGAGCUCGUAGGUGGUUUGUCGCGUUGUUCGUGAAAACUCACAGCUUAACUGUGGGCGUGCGGGCGAUACGGGCAGACUUGAGUACUGCAGGGGAGACUGGAAUUCCUGGUGUAGCGGUGGAAUGCGCAGAUAUCAGGAGGAACACCGGUGGCGAAGGCGGGUCUCUGGGCAGUAACCGACGCUGUGGAGCGAAAGCGUGGGGAGCGAACAGGAUUAGAUACCCUGGUAGUCCAA
This 773-nucleotide ribosomal RNA is filed under the name uncultured bacterium. Its description in RNAcentral is "bacterial SSU rRNA". It matches the Rfam family "Bacterial small subunit ribosomal RNA", at positions 8 to 798 of the family's 1533-position model. The record is from RNAcentral.